AUCGAUGAAGAACGCAGCGAAAUGCGAUAAGUAAUGUGAAUUGCAGAAUUCAGUGAAUCAUCGAAUCUUUGAACGCACCUUGCGCCCUCUGGUAUUCCGGAGGGCAUGCCUGUUUGAGUGUCUUGAUAUCAUCAAUCCCCUCGGGUUCGCGCCCGUUGCGGUUUGGAGUUGGGGGUUUUGCUGCCGUGAGGCGGCUCCCCUUAAAAUCAUCGGUUUGGCCCGUAUCAUGCGGCUAGCACCUUUGGCGUUGUAUUUUCCUCGCCUUUGAUCGGUCUUGCUCGCUUCCGCGCCUCACUUCGACUUGCCCUCUGGGUGGCGGUCACUUCUUGACAAUCUGGCCUCAAAUCAGGUAGGACUACCCGCUGAACUUAAGCAUAUCAAUAAGCGGAGGAAAAGAAACUAACAAGGAUUCCCCUAGUAACUGCGAGUGAAGCGGGAAAAGCUCAAAUUUGAAAUCUGGCGGUUUCUGCCGUCCGAGUUGUAUUCUGGAGAAGCGUUUUCCGUGCUGGACCGUGUACAAGUGCCUUGGAACAGGCCGUCAUAGAGGGUGAGAAUCCCGUCUUUGACACGGACUGCCAGUGCUCUGUGAUGCGCUCUCGAAGAGUCGAGUUGUUUGGGAAUGCAGCUCAAAAUGGGUGGUAAAUUCCAUCUAAAGCUAAAUAUUGGCGAGAGACCGAUAGCGAACAAGUACCGUGAGGGAAAGAUGAAAAGCACUUUGGAAAGAGAGUAAAACAGUACGUGAAAUUGUUGAAAGGGAAACGCUUGAAGUCAGUCGCGUCUUCUGGAACUCAGCCUUGCUUUUGCUUGGUGCAUUUUCCAGUCUGACGGGCCAGCAUCGGUUUUGGCGGGGCAGACAAAGGCGGGGGGAAGGUGGCCGCUCCGGCGGUGUUAUAGCCCCCCGUUGCAUGUGUCCCCUGGGACCGAGGAAUCCGGCGCAAGCCUGGGAUGCUGGCGUAAUGGCUUUAAACGACCCGUCUUGAAACACGG
This 987-nucleotide ribosomal RNA is filed under the name uncultured fungus. RNAcentral's name for it is "eukaryotic LSU rRNA". The stretch from base 336 to 987 matches the Rfam family "Eukaryotic large subunit ribosomal RNA", at positions 1 to 664 of the family's 3401-position model. Lineage: Eukaryota; Fungi. The record is from RNAcentral.